This 570-nucleotide ribosomal RNA is filed under the name Vitreorana eurygnatha (Rio glass frog). RNAcentral's name for it is "partial large subunit ribosomal RNA". It matches the Rfam family "Bacterial large subunit ribosomal RNA", at positions 1819 to 2597 of the family's 2925-position model. Lineage: Eukaryota; Metazoa; Chordata; Amphibia; Anura; Centrolenidae. The record is from RNAcentral.
CGCCUCUUGAGUAAUUUAUAAGAGGUCCAGCCUGCCCAGUGACUCUGUUCAACGGCCGCGGUAUCCUAACCGUGCGAAGGUAGCGUAAUCAUUUGUUCUUUAAAUGAGGACUAGUAUGAAUGGCACCACGAGGGUUAUACUGUCUCCCCUUUCUAAUCAGUGAAACUAAUCUCCCCAUGAAGAAGCGGGGAUAAACAUAUAAGACGAGAAGACCCUAUGGAGCUUUAAACCAUGCGACACUUGCACCAACCCUCACAAAUUUCAGAAAAAUCCCUCCCACACAUGCAAGAUGAUCACCAGUUUUAGGUUGGGGUGACCGCGGAGCAAAAAAUAACCUCCACAUUGAAAGGAGUCUUACUCCUUAGCUUAGAGCCACACCUCCAUGCACCAAUACAAUGACAUUAAUUGACCCAAUAUUUUGAUCAACGAACCAAGUUACCCUAGGGAUAACAGCGCAAUCCACUCCAAGAGCUCCUAUCGACAAGUGGGUUUACGACCUCGAUGUUGGAUCAGGGUAUCCUGGUGGUGCAGCCGCUACCAAAGGUUCGUUUGUUCAACGAUUAAAACCCU